UGGACCGUUCGUUGAGGGGUUAGGAGGGCGUGCUCAGAAAAAAAGUUUUCACCUCGUGAAAAAAAGAAGAAAGAAACAUUUCCGGAAGUUUGUGGAACUCGUCGGAAGUAACUGUGGUGCCACCUGCCAAGGGUUCAGAAAUAUGCUGUUGAAUGGUGUUGGGAGAAAAAAGUGCUGAAUAAUCCAAAACAGGAAGUCCCAGCUGGGAGUGGCCUUAGGUGUAACAGCAAAGGUCACAUAUUGUGGUGGAAGAGUGAGAAAUGUGCUGUCGUGGUUGACCAACGGCGGGUUCCAUAUCGGUAAUUGCGAAUCCUGCAAGCAAGCGAAAAACAACUAGCCCCAACUAGCGAAAGUGUUCAUGGAAUUGGUACGAUGGAUCUGAUAUCGCUACCUCCGUGCUCCCGACGACU
Long non-coding RNA from Culex pipiens pallens (northern house mosquito), 410 nucleotides. RefSeq lists it as uncharacterized. Lineage: Eukaryota; Metazoa; Arthropoda; Insecta; Diptera; Culicidae. The record is from RefSeq and is a predicted model, not a curated record. The transcript is spliced from 2 exons.